Molecule: non-coding RNA, 633 nt
Organism: Zonotrichia albicollis (white-throated sparrow)
Lineage: Eukaryota; Metazoa; Chordata; Aves; Passeriformes; Passerellidae
Source: RefSeq, a predicted model, not a curated record
GGAGACAGUUGGCUGCUGUGAGGAGGACAAAGGAGAGUCAGUGCCUGGAGGAGCUGCCUGCAAGAAACAUCGAGGAGGAAUAUGAAAGAGAAGCAAGACAGAGCUAUUCUGGAAACCAUUGAAGGCAAAAAGAUAAAAUCAGAAUCAAUAGAAAGAUUUCAUCAGAACUUGGAAAUUCCAGCUUUGUUCACAGGGACUGGGAUCUACAUGCCAUGCAGGGGAAUAAACUUGGCAUAAAACUGGGGAGGAAACCAAAGCCAACCUUUAUGCUCAAGCUCCAGCCCUUCAUCUUUCAGCACAAGAACCUCACAAAACAAGAAUAUUGACAGCUGAGAGACAAAGUCUUCUGUUAGCAAAAACACAGUUCAGGUCACAGCUACCCACAGAGCACUGAGAGAGUGGGGCAACUAAGGAAUGGAUAUAUCUGCAAUUUGUUUUAAAGGUUUUUUAAAGCAGUAGGGUAAUAGUGCAUAUGUUAAACAUACUGUUGAUAAACCCUUAAAUGUGUGAAUUCCACAACCAGCAUGUGACUUCAAAAGGCAAACAUCAUCCUGUUGUGUAUCAAUAUAAUUUAUGAUGAUGUUCAAGAUUUCAUGGCUGUAUUGAAUUAGUAGAUUAAAAAUUUCUAUGAUA